Molecule: ribosomal RNA, 2927 nt
Filed under: Enterobacter cloacae
Lineage: Bacteria; Pseudomonadati; Pseudomonadota; Gammaproteobacteria; Enterobacterales; Enterobacteriaceae
Description: 23S ribosomal RNA
Rfam family: Bacterial large subunit ribosomal RNA
Source: RNAcentral
GGGUUGUGAGGUUAAGCGACUAAGCGUACACGGUGGAUGCCCUGGCAGUCAGAGGCGAUGAAGGACGUGCUAAUCUGCGAAAAGCGCCGGCGAGGUGAUAUGAACCUUUGACCCGGCGAUGUCCGAAUGGGGAAACCCAGUGUGAUUCGUCACACUAUCGUUAACUGAAUACAUAGGUUAACGAGGCGAACCGGGGGAACUGAAACAUCUAAGUACCCCGAGGAAAAGAAAUCAACCGAGAUUCCCCCAGUAGCGGCGAGCGAACGGGGAGCAGCCCAGAGUCUGAAUCAGCUUGUGUGUUAGUGGAAGCGUCUGGAAAGUCGCACGGUACAGGGUGACAGUCCCGUACACGAAAAUGCACAGGUUGUGAACUCGAAGAGUAGGGCGGGACACGUGGUAUCCUGUCUGAAUAUGGGGGGACCAUCCUCCAAGGCUAAAUACUCCUGACUGACCGAUAGUGAACCAGUACCGUGAGGGAAAGGCGAAAAGAACCCCGGCGAGGGGAGUGAAAAAGAACCUGAAACCGUGUACGUACAAGCAGUGGGAGCACCUUCGUGGUGUGACUGCGUACCUUUUGUAUAAUGGGUCAGCGACUUAUAUUCUGUAGCAAGGUUAACCGUAUAGGGGAGCCGAAGGGAAACCGAGUCUUAACUGGGCGUUAAGUUGCAGGGUAUAGACCCGAAACCCGGUGAUCUAGCCAUGGGCAGGUUGAAGGUUGGGUAACACUAACUGGAGGACCGAACCGACUAAUGUUGAAAAAUUAGCGGAUGACUUGUGGCUGGGGGUGAAAGGCCAAUCAAACCGGGAGAUAGCUGGUUCUCCCCGAAAGCUAUUUAGGUAGCGCCUCGUGAACUCAUCUUCGGGGGUAGAGCACUGUUUCGGCUAGGGGGCCAUCCCGGCUUACCAACCCGAUGCAAACUACGAAUACCGAAGAAUGUUAUCACGGGAGACACACGGCGGGUGCUAACGUCCGUCGUGAAGAGGGAAACAACCCAGACCGCCAGCUAAGGUCCCAAAGUCAUGGUUAAGUGGGAAACGAUGUGGGAAGGCACAGACAGCCAGGAUGUUGGCUUAGAAGCAGCCAUCAUUUAAAGAAAGCGUAAUAGCUCACUGGUCGAGUCGGCCUGCGCGGAAGAUGUAACGGGGCUAAACCAUGCACCGAAGCUGCGGCAGCGACGCUUAUGCGUUGUUGGGUAGGGGAGCGUUCUGUAAGCCGUUGAAGGUGGCCUGUGAGGGUUGCUGGAGGUAUCAGAAGUGCGAAUGCUGACAUAAGUAACGAUAAAGCGGGUGAAAAGCCCGCUCGCCGGAAGACCAAGGGUUCCUGUCCAACGUUAAUCGGGGCAGGGUGAGUCGACCCCUAAGGCGAGGCCGAAAGGCGUAGUCGAUGGGAAACAGGUUAAUAUUCCUGUACUUGGUGUUACUGCGAAGGGGGGACGGAGAAGGCUAUGUUAGCCGGGCGACGGUUGUCCCGGUUUAAGCAUGUAGGCGGAACGAUUAGGUAAAUCCGGUCGUUUAUUAACGCUGAGGUGUGAUGACGAGGCACUACGGUGCUGAAGUAACAAAUGCCCUGCUUCCAGGAAAAGCCUCUAAGCAUCAGGUAACAUCAAAUCGUACCCCAAACCGACACAGGUGGUCAGGUAGAGAAUACCAAGGCGCUUGAGAGAACUCGGGUGAAGGAACUAGGCAAAAUGGUGCCGUAACUUCGGGAGAAGGCACGCUGAUAUGUAGGUGAAGCCCCUGCGGGUGGAGCUGAAAUCAGUCGAAGAUACCAGCUGGCUGCAACUGUUUAUUAAAAACACAGCACUGUGCAAACACGAAAGUGGACGUAUACGGUGUGACGCCUGCCCGGUGCCGGAAGGUUAAUUGAUGGGGUUAGCGGUAACGCGAAGCUCUUGAUCGAAGCCCCGGUAAACGGCGGCCGUAACUAUAACGGUCCUAAGGUAGCGAAAUUCCUUGUCGGGUAAGUUCCGACCUGCACGAAUGGCGUAAUGAUGGCCAGGCUGUCUCCACCCGAGACUCAGUGAAAUUGAACUCGCUGUGAAGAUGCAGUGUACCCGCGGCAAGACGGAAAGACCCCGUGAACCUUUACUAUAGCUUGACACUGAACACUGGUCCUUGAUGUGUAGGAUAGGUGGGAGGCUUUGAAGUGUGGACGCCAGUCUGCAUGGAGCCGUCCUUGAAAUACCACCCUUUAAUGGCUGGUGUUCUAACGUAGACCCGUAAUCCGGGUUGCGGACAGUGUCUGGUGGGUAGUUUGACUGAGGCGGUCUCCUCCCAAAGAGUAACGGAGGAGCACGAAGGUUAGCUAAUCCUGGUCGGACAUCAGGAGGUUAGUGCAAUGGCAUAAGCUAGCUUGACUGCGAGAGUGACGGCUCGAGCAGGUGCGAAAGCAGGUCAUAGUGAUCCGGUGGUUCUGAAUGGAAGGGCCAUCGCUCAACGGAUAAAAGGUACUCCGGGGAUAACAGGCUGAUACCGCCCAAGAGUUCAUAUCGACGGCGGUGUUUGGCACCUCGAUGUCGGCUCAUCACAUCCUGGGGCUGAAGUAGGUCCCAAGGGUAUGGCUGUUCGCCAUUUAAAGUGGUACGCGAGCUGGGUUUAGAACGUCGUGAGACAGUUCGGUCCCUAUCUGCCGUGGGCGCUGGAGAAUUGAGGGGGGCUGCUCCUAGUACGAGAGGACCGGAGUGGACGCAUCACUGGUGUUCGGGUUGUCAUGCCAAUGGCACUGCCCGGUAGCUAAAUGCGGAAAAGAUAAGUGCUGAAAGCAUCUAAGCACGAAACUUGCCCCGAGAUGAGUUCUCCCUGAGACUUUAAGUCUCCUGAAGGAACGUUGAAGACGACGACGUUGAUAGGUCGGGUGUGUAAGCGCAGCGAUGCGUUGAGCUAACCGAUACUAAUGAACCGUGAGGCUUAACCUUACAACGCCGAAG